CCCCUCUUAGACUAGGAAAAUAGCUCCUAAAAAAUAAUAUGCCAAAAAUUGGCAUGUGUCAGUAAUAAACCCUAAAAAUCAUACUAAAAGUAGUACGUAUAAGUAAGAUUUUAAACAAAUACAUAACUAAUAUUCUAUUUUGUCCUUUCUUCUAUGUUAAGCCACUUUAACGAUUUAAUUAAUCAAUUAAAUAUUCUAUAAAAUUCUCAAAUAUUGCAAGAUCAAUGUUCGAUGAUUUAAAACAAAGCAUAAGUAAGAUGAUUUCAUGUGAUCAUAGUUGACU
This 283-nucleotide long non-coding RNA is filed under the name Elaeis guineensis (African oil palm). RNAcentral describes it as "long non-coding RNA (EGUI_LNC034582)". Lineage: Eukaryota; Viridiplantae; Streptophyta; Magnoliopsida; Arecales; Arecaceae. The record is from RNAcentral.